Molecule: long non-coding RNA, 532 nt
Organism: Notolabrus celidotus (New Zealand spotty)
Lineage: Eukaryota; Metazoa; Chordata; Actinopteri; Labriformes; Labridae
Exons: 2
Source: RefSeq, a predicted model, not a curated record
GAGCAAAGACAACACUGAGUGCUGAACUCCGCGAGCUCUGAAACAAAAACAAUACGUACUGUUGCAGUCUCGCGCUGCGUGAAGAGCCUUUUCAAGAGGAAAAACAGGGGAAAUUCAGCUCGACAUACUCGCGACGAUAAUCUCUCUGACUGAACAAAUGCUGAGUAAUGUAACUCUAUCCAGGAAAGCUGUUUCACAAUUCUCCCUCCCCCUCCCUCUCGUCUUCCUCUCCUCCUCAACAGCGCUUCCAAUGUUCCUGGAAGAAGUAAACAACAGACCACGUGCACCAGCUGCAGCAUCAUAUUUCGUCCAGAGAGACGUGACGUCACGAAACGUACUUCAGUCUGUCCUGUAGUGUUUACAUGAUGAACUUAGAAAGCUAUUUCUACUAUUUUCAUGUGAUGUCCACAUGAUGCUUUGGACGGACAACCUGUUCAGGGGCCCAGAUGGGAAUCCAGGAGACAAAACGAGGCUGCUUCACCUUCACACAGCUACUAUUAAAGAUUCUCAUUAGAGCUCUAAUUGAACCAUA